RNAcentral lists this long non-coding RNA (1330 nucleotides) under Numida meleagris (helmeted guineafowl). RNAcentral describes it as "lncRNA (ENSNMEG00000017178.1)". Lineage: Eukaryota; Metazoa; Chordata; Aves; Galliformes; Numididae. The record is from RNAcentral.
AGAGGAGAGGAGAGGAGAGGAGAGGAGAGGAGAGGAGAGUCUUGCUAUGGGGGACUGUUUCACUGGAGAACCGUAAGAACUCUACAAGUAGGCAAAAUACAAACGCGCAGGAGAAAGACAUCUGAGAACACUUAGCUGGCCUCACUGAUAGAAAUGAUUGUGGGGAGAGGGGUUAAAUAGAUCCCAGAGAACAAGGAAAGAUGUGGAACGUUACUUGGGUAAUUGGAGUGCUGGGUAGCAAAUACUGGAGGCAAAUCCACGUCUCCUAAGAGACCUGGCGACGUCUGGGGAAUGCAGUCCCUGCUUUAGCAUUGCUCUUUUUAAAAAGUAAGGCAGCUGGAAAGCAUCAGGCAGCGAAGAAGGGACAGAUUUGGUGACACAGCUUCUGAGGGGGUACGGGAGAAGGAGGAGCACACGGAAGGGAGAUGGACUCCCUGCAUGUAACUCACCCCGCUGAGAAGGAGAGCCGCAGCCUUCUCCACGCAGACAAAAGAUGGCGAAGAGCCCGUGGUACCAAGCUGAACAGCAGCAGGCACCGAGGGACAAGGUCUCUGUGGCCACUUCUCCAGCCCAGCCACAGCUCUUCCCUCUCUGCAGGUCCAGCACGACCAACAAGAGCAAUGCAAAGUUUCAAUGGAGGAUCCAGCACUAACCUAACACCAAAACAAUCCAGGUGUGUGUCUUCAGCAGCAUGAGACUGAGAUGCCCUCCCCCUCCAACAGCAUGGCCACUAAAAUACACAGGCUAAAGGAGGCUGCACCUCACUACCUAAGUCACUGAUGGGGAAGGAUGUAUUGAUGCGCCACUACGUUCCUACCAGCAUUCCUAUCACCUUUGAGAAAUGCGACUCAUAACUUAGCUUAAUCACUGAUCAUUAGCCUCCGAGUCCAACAACACCUCAAAAAUCCCACGGGGAUGUACUUAGUGAGCCAUAAUCAUUUGUGGCAUUACACAGUCUUUGCAACAGACUUCUGUGUUGUUUCCUUGGACUUUGGUACAUAUAUUCUGACAAAGUAACGUUUUAGUAGGCUAAGUAAGUUCUCUAGUCCUCAUGGAUCAGGCCUUAAACCUGCUGACACAAACUCGUUUACCUCCGCAUAAAUAAUUUUAACAAAGCAACGAGAGUUUUAGGCCAAGGAGUUCAUAAAUCUGCAUGAGUCAACACACUUCGCAAGAACAUUCUUGAUGACAAACUCAAGCCAAUUGAGCAGUUAUAGAAAACAAUUUCUGCAAGAAGUUCUGCAAGGGAAAAUAUCUUACAGGAACAUAAUUUAAUUGAUUUCUGUAAGUGCUGUAAAUAGUCUGUAAAAUAACAUAAUAAAUACAAUCC